UAACCUGCCCAAGAGAUCGGGAUAACACCUGGAAACAGAUGCUAAUACCGGAUAACAACAGAUGAUGCCUAUCAACUGUUUAAAAGAUGGUUCUGCUAUCACUCUUGGAUGGACCUGCGGUGCAUUAGCUAGUUGGUAGGGUAACGGCCUACCAAGGCGAUGAUGCAUGGCCGAGUUGAGAGACUGAUCGGCCACAUUGGGACUGAGACACGGCCCAAACUCUUACGGGAGGCAGCAGGU
This 240-nucleotide ribosomal RNA is filed under the name uncultured Lactobacillus sp. Its description in RNAcentral is "partial 16S ribosomal RNA". It matches the Rfam family "Bacterial small subunit ribosomal RNA", at positions 122 to 354 of the family's 1533-position model. Lineage: Bacteria; Bacillati; Bacillota; Bacilli; Lactobacillales; Lactobacillaceae. The record is from RNAcentral.